RNAcentral lists this small RNA (930 nucleotides) under Ralstonia solanacearum. Its description in RNAcentral is "bacterial SSU rRNA". The stretch from base 1 to 517 matches the Rfam family "Bacterial small subunit ribosomal RNA", at positions 1011 to 1533 of the family's 1533-position model. The record is from RNAcentral. Lineage: Bacteria; Pseudomonadati; Pseudomonadota; Betaproteobacteria; Burkholderiales; Burkholderiaceae.
CCCCCUUUUUCGAGAGCUGGGAAGUGUGCCUGCAUGGCAUGAUCGUCAGCUCGUGUCGUGAGAUGUUGGGUUAAGUCCCGCAACGAGCGCAACCCUUGUCUCUAGUUGCUACGAAAGGGCACUCUAGAGAGACUGCCGGUGACAAACCGGAGGAAGGUGGGGAUGACGUCAAGUCCUCAUGGCCCUUAUGGGUAGGGCUUCACACGUCAUACAAUGGUGCAUACAGAGGGUUGCCAAGCCGCGAGGUGGAGCUAAUCCCAGAAAAUGCAUCGUAGUCCGGAUCGUAGUCUGCAACUCGACUACGUGAAGCUGGAAUCGCUAGUAAUCGCGGAUCAGCAUGCCGCGGUGAAUACGUUCCCGGGUCUUGUACACACCGCCCGUCACACCAUGGGAGUGGGCUUUACCAGAAGUAGUUAGCCUAACCGCAAGGAGGGCGAUUACCACGGUAGGGUUCAUGACUGGGGUGAAGUCGUAACAAGGUAGCCGUAUCGGAAGGUGCGGCUGGAUCACCUCCUUUAAGAGCGUGCAUCCUAGUUAGGCGUCCACACUUAUCGGUUUGUUUGAUGUUACAGCCAAGGGUCUGUAGCUCAGGUGGUUAGAGCACCGUCUUGAUAAGGCGGGGGUCGUAGGUUCAAGUCCUACCAGACCCACCAAGUUACGGACGGUGGAAGUCCCCGGGAACGCGGGGGAAAAAAAACCUGAGUUUUUUGUCUUGUGAUUAACUUGUCAUUUUGUGUUUUUUUUUUGGUCGUUGGGGAGUCUUUGGGUGUAGGUGUGUGGUGUGUUUGUGGUUUGUGUUUGGUGUUGUUGGGGUAGAUUUGCGGUAGGGGUUUUUUAGGUGGUAUGAGUGUUGUGUUUGGGGGGGGGGUGUUUUUUUGUUGAGGGGUUGUGUGGUGUGGGGGGGGGGGGUGGGGGGGGGGGGGGGGGGGG